This 460-nucleotide ribosomal RNA is filed under the name uncultured bacterium. RNAcentral describes it as "partial 16S ribosomal RNA". It matches the Rfam family "Bacterial small subunit ribosomal RNA", at positions 338 to 795 of the family's 1533-position model. The record is from RNAcentral.
CCUACGGGGGGCAGCAGUGAGGAAUAUUGGUCAAUGGGCGCGAGCCUGAACCAGCCAAGUAGCGUGAAGGAUGAAUGUCCUACGGGUUGUAAACUUCUUUUAUCAAGGAAUAAAGUGAGGCACGCGUGCCUUUUUGUAUGUACUUUAUGAAUAAGGAUCGGCUAACUCCGUGCCAGCAGCCGCGGUAAUACGGAGGAUCCGAGCGUUAUCCGGAUUUAUUGGGUUUAAAGGGAGCGUAGAUGGGUUGUUAAGUCAGUUGUGAAAGGUUGGGGCUCAACCGUAAAAUUGCAGUUGAAACUGGCAGCCUUGAGUACAGUUGAGGUAGGCGGAAUUCGUGGUGUAGCGGUGAAAGGCUUAGAUAUCACGAAGAACUCCGAUUGCGAAGGCAGCCUGCUAAGCUGCCACUGACAUUGAGGCACGAAAGUGUGGGUAUCAAACAGGAUUAGAUACCCGAGUAGUC